UACAGAAAAUGCCUUGGUGCCUGAUGUCCCU
Molecule: non-coding RNA, 31 nt
Filed under: Mus musculus (house mouse)
Lineage: Eukaryota; Metazoa; Chordata; Mammalia; Rodentia; Muridae
Source: RNAcentral